This 441-nucleotide ribosomal RNA is filed under the name uncultured bacterium. Its description in RNAcentral is "partial 16S ribosomal RNA". It matches the Rfam family "Bacterial small subunit ribosomal RNA", at positions 338 to 795 of the family's 1533-position model. The record is from RNAcentral.
CCUACGGGCGGCAGCAGUGGGGAAUAUUGCACAAUGGGGGAAACCCUGAUGCAGCGACGCCGCGUGAGUGAAGAAGUAUUUCGGUAUGUAAAGCUCUAUCAGCAGGAACGAGACAAGACGGUACUUGACUAGGAAGCCCCGUCAAAAUACGUGCCAGCAGCCGCGGGAAUACGAUGGGGUCAAGGGUUAUCCGGAAUCACGGGGUGAAAAGGGAGGGUAGACGGCAGAGCAAGCCUGAAGUGAAAGGCCGGGGCCCAACCCUCGGACUGCUUUGGAAACUGUACGGCUGGAGUGCAGGAGAGGUAAGUGGAAUUCCUAGUGUAGCGGUGAAAUGCGUAGAUAUUAGGAGGAACACCAGUGGCGAAGGCGGCUUACUGGACUGUAACUGACGUUGAGGCUCGAAAGCGUGGGGAGCAAACAGGAUUAGAUACCCGUGUAGUC